UACGUAGGGUGCAGGCGUUAAUCGGAAUUACUGGGCGUAAAGGGUGCGCAGGCGGUCUAUUAAGACAGGUGUGAAAUCCCCGGGCUUAACCUGGGAACUGCGCUUGUAACUGGUAGGCUGGAGUGUGGCAGAGGGGGGUGGAAUUCCACGUGUAGCAGUGAAAUGCGUAGAGAUGUGGAGGAACACCGAUGGCGAAGGCAGCCCCCUGGGCUAACACUGACGCUCAAGCACGAAAGCGUGGGGAGCAAACAGG
Molecule: ribosomal RNA, 253 nt
Filed under: uncultured bacterium
Lineage: Bacteria
Description: partial 16S ribosomal RNA
Rfam family: Bacterial small subunit ribosomal RNA
Source: RNAcentral